GGAUCAUUACUGAGUUUACGCUCUACAACCCUUUGUGAACAUACCUACAACUGUUGCUUCGGCGGGUAGGGUCUCCGCGACCCUCCCGGCCUCCCGCCUCCGGGCGGGUCGGCGCCCGCCGGAGGAUAACCAAACUCUGAUUUAACGACGUUUCUUCUGAGUGGUACAAGCAAAUAAUCAAAACUUUUAACAACGGAUCUCUUGGUUCUGGCAUCGAUGAAGAACGCAGCGAAAUGCGAUAAGUAAUGUGAAUUGCAGAAUUCAGUGAAUCAUCGAAUCUUUGAACGCACAUUGCGCCCGCCAGCAUUCUGGCGGGCAUGCCUGUUCGAGCGUCAUUUCAACCCUCAAGCUCUGCUUGGUGAUGGGGCCCUACAGCCGAUGUAGGCCCUCAAAGGUAGUGGCGGACCCUCCCGGAGCCUCCUUUGCGUAGUAACUUUACGUCUCGCACUGGGAUCCGGAGGGACUCUUGCCGUAAAACCCCCCAAUUUUCCAAAGGUUGACCUCGGAUCAGGUAGGAAUACCCGCUGAACUUAAGCAUAUCAAUAAGCGGAGGACCUGUGUGAAAUGU
This 568-nucleotide ribosomal RNA is filed under the name Colletotrichum gloeosporioides. Its description in RNAcentral is "eukaryotic LSU rRNA". The stretch from base 182 to 335 matches the Rfam family "5.8S ribosomal RNA". Lineage: Eukaryota; Fungi; Ascomycota; Sordariomycetes; Glomerellales; Glomerellaceae. The record is from RNAcentral.